Molecule: ribosomal RNA, 687 nt
Filed under: Triticum aestivum (bread wheat)
Lineage: Eukaryota; Viridiplantae; Streptophyta; Magnoliopsida; Poales; Poaceae
Description: partial small subunit ribosomal RNA
Source: RNAcentral
AUGACGAAAAGGAACAGAAACUAUUACCUAAUGCCAGAUGAAGAAGACCCGGUAAGACCAGUUCCAAACAAGAUUGGAAAAGUUAUGUUUCUCACAGCAGUUGCAAGGCCCAGAUACGACGCUGAAGGGAAUGUCACAUUCUCAGGAAAGAUCAUGGUGAACAGAGAAGUCAUGAGACGAUACAUGAUUGAGAAAGUUGUUCCUGCAAUAAAAGAUGUGUGGCCCUUUGAAGAUGUUGGACAAACAGUCUUCAUCCAACAGGACAAUGCAAGGACACAUAUUUUACCUAAUGAUGUUGAGUUCGCAGAAGCAGUGGCUGAGACCGGUAUGGACAUCAAACUAAUGCAACAACCCCCAAAUUCUCCUGACUUGAACGCUCUUGACCUUGGGUACUUCAGAUCCCUAGAGUCUCUAACGGACUGCAGAGCCCCUACCACCAUCCCUGAACUAAUUCAAGGGGUACAAGAAGAAUUCGAUGACUAUGAAGUUGGAAAACUGAACAGAAUCUUCCUAACACUCCAAACAUGUAUGGUGGAAGUCAUGAAUCAUGCAGGAGGAAAUGCUUACAAAAUUCCACACGUCAACAAACAAAGAUUUGAAAGAGAUGGAACUCUACCUCCUAGGAUCCAGUUCCCACGUGAAGUGUACUACAAUGCCCUAGAGAAUCUAGAACAAGAUGAACACUGA